AACGAACGCUGGCGGCAUGCCUAACACAUGCAAGUCGAACGAGACCUUCGGGUCUAGUGGCGCACGGAUGCGUAACGCGUGGGAACCUGCCCUUAGGUUCGGAAUAACUCCCCGAAAGGGGUGCUAAUACCGGAUAAUGUCUUCGGACCAAAGAUUUAUCGCCUUUGGAUGGGCCCGCGUUGGAUUAGCUAGUUGGUAGGGUAAAAGCCUACCAAGGCGACGAUCCAUAGCUGGUCUGAGAGGAUGGUCAGCCACACUGGGACUGAGACACGGCCCAGACUCCUACGGGAGGCAGCAGUGGGGAAUAUUGGACAAUGGGCGAAAGCCUGAUCCAGCAAUGCCGCGUGAGUGAUGAAGGCCUUAGGGUUGUAAAGCUCUUUUACCCGGGAUGAUAAUGACAGUACCGGGAGAAUAAGCUCCGGCUAACUCCGUG
This 433-nucleotide ribosomal RNA is filed under the name uncultured bacterium. Its description in RNAcentral is "partial 16S ribosomal RNA". It matches the Rfam family "Bacterial small subunit ribosomal RNA", at positions 29 to 507 of the family's 1533-position model. The record is from RNAcentral.